UACGAAGGGGGCUAGCGUUGCUCGGAAUUACUGGGCGUAAAGCGCACGUAGGCGGGUUCUUAAGUCGGUGGUGAAAUCCUGGAGCUCAACUCCAGAACUGCCUUCGAAACUGGGAAUCUUGAGUCCGGGAGAGGUGAGUGGAACUGCGAGUGUAGAGGUGAAAUUCGAUAGAUAUUCGCAAGAACACCAGUGGCGAAGGCGGCUCACUGGCCCGGUACUGACGCUGAGGUGCGAAAGCGUGGGGAGCAAACAGG
Molecule: ribosomal RNA, 254 nt
Filed under: uncultured bacterium
Lineage: Bacteria
Description: partial 16S ribosomal RNA
Rfam family: Bacterial small subunit ribosomal RNA
Source: RNAcentral